GAUGAAGCGAGGAGGUGUCCAUGAAGAGGUCAACUGCACGUCAUUUCUAUCAACAGUACUUUUUGGCGACCCGGGGAGCGUCCUGGCUGGCCCGUCAGUGCGCAGAGUUACGGCUGAAAAUACUGGACGAUCUGAUGCAGUGGGAAGUUACGAACCCGACCUCGGAGGGCUGAAUCGCCUCGAUCAUGUGUGACUGAGUAUUGGUGCUAAUCACCCGCCAGCAAAAUGUUUUUGCUGGCUUUUUU
This 245-nucleotide small RNA is filed under the name uncultured Enterobacter sp. RNAcentral's name for it is "SgrS RNA". It matches the Rfam family "SgrS RNA". From Rfam's summary of the family: In sugar transport-related sRNA (SgrS) is induced under conditions of glucose phosphate stress in E.coli. This small RNA acts to negatively regulate the translation and stability of the ptsG mRNA, which encodes the major glucose transporter in E. coli. Lineage: Bacteria; Pseudomonadati; Pseudomonadota; Gammaproteobacteria; Enterobacterales; Enterobacteriaceae. The record is from RNAcentral.